Long non-coding RNA from Hibiscus syriacus, 515 nucleotides. RefSeq lists it as uncharacterized. NCBI's taxonomy places the organism in Eukaryota, Viridiplantae, Streptophyta, Magnoliopsida, Malvales, Malvaceae. The transcript is spliced from 3 exons. The record is from RefSeq and is a predicted model, not a curated record.
CAAGCUCCCACCUCGCGUCCAGUCGAGCCUCCAGCAAGCUUCCACCCGAGUCUCGCCGUCGAUGGUUCAACCGAGUCAUUCCUCUCUUUUUUUUGGCCACAACACGCAAAAAAACAACAAAGAGUCAUUCUUCCAUUUUAUUGUAAUAUGGGUACCUAUGCCUGAAAAAAACAAAAGGGGAUUCCCGUAUUUAUGUAUGAAAUCAAGCAAUGCCAAAGGGGGAGAACUUUUCUUCUAGAUUUUUUGUGUAUUCAAACCAUGCAAAGGGAAUAGAAAAAAAAAACAACUUUCAAGCUGACAGUACUAGCAGACAACCGUUGCUCAAGGUGUUCUUCAAGUAGUGGGUUGUUCAUUAGCAAGCCCCAUCUGUUCCUCUGCUGGUAUCAUUGCUCGAGCCUUCUCCAGGUUUGACCACUGUAUCAACAAUUGUGUAACAACCUUGUUCUGCCUCUUCAUCAUUCUCUUGUUGAGCACAAUGGUAGGAUAGACCUUCAUCUGUCCAUCAUCACUGAGUU